UACCCAGCAACUCUUAUCCCUUUCCUCCUCACGGUACUGGCCGGGGUACGAGCAACCUUAGGGAACAUCGAAUAACCAACCCCGGUGGGAAUUUUGGUCGUAUGCUGACAGGGAAGG
This 117-nucleotide ribozyme is filed under the name Aedes aegypti (yellow fever mosquito). RNAcentral describes it as "drz-agam-1 ribozyme". It matches the Rfam family "drz-agam-1 ribozyme". Lineage: Eukaryota; Metazoa; Arthropoda; Insecta; Diptera; Culicidae. The record is from Rfam by way of RNAcentral.